AAUAAUAGUUGUCACCAUCAUAAAGCUAAACGCUUUUUAAAAUGUAUUUUUAUUAAUAUUUUUUGUGAAAUAUGUCGUCAUCAAGCAGAAGGUCGUUAAUUACCACCCAGCGGACAGGUGUGCAAACCUAAGACUUGUUGUGGUGAGGUCAAACAUCAACAAUCCUCCAGUCACUUUAACACACCAGGAUUAGUCCUCCAUAAAGGGAUGCAAGACAUGCUGACUUUGGAGAGUGAAUGAUGGAUCAUCAGCUUCUCCUACAAGAAAAGAAAACUAUGGUCUCUAAGAACCACUGGACUCUCAAAAGGUGAGGCACCCGAGCCGUGAAACGGUGACCUCAUCUACUUAGAGAAGAUGUUGGAUUGAUGGAUGGAUGGAGAGAUGAGCAGAAGCAAGUCGACGUUCUCUUUAACCUAAGGGACCUCAGGAGAGCCGCUCCCCAGGGAUCAGCUGUAACUAACAGCAGCAGCCUUGCAGAAAUCACCUGAGCAACUCAGGAUGAAAGUUAAAGCCGUCAUGAAACUGCUUCAACUCUGACAAAUUACCCACCAAGCAUUUGGUAUGCCGAGCAAGAGGACAGGAGUGACCUUUGACUCCAGGGGAACUGUGAGCUGCCACCGUUCUCCUCCAAGUGGCGUCCCGUCAGCGUCAACCGAGCGUGCCUAAGCCGUGAGGACAGAGCGUUGAGGUGAGGCGGACCACAGAGGUGGGAAAUGAAGAGGUCAUUUUUCAACAUAACGACGA
Xiphophorus couchianus (Monterrey platyfish) is the source of this 744-nucleotide long non-coding RNA. RefSeq lists it as uncharacterized. The transcript is spliced from 7 exons. The record is from RefSeq and is a predicted model, not a curated record. Lineage: Eukaryota; Metazoa; Chordata; Actinopteri; Cyprinodontiformes; Poeciliidae.